This is a long non-coding RNA of Homo sapiens (human), 743 nucleotides long. RefSeq annotates it as MAST4 antisense RNA 1. The record is from RefSeq and is marked validated. The transcript has 2 exons. Lineage: Eukaryota; Metazoa; Chordata; Mammalia; Primates; Hominidae.
CCCCUCCCCGGAGCCCGGAAUGGAUCCGUCCCGGAAAUAAAUAAAUAAACCCGCGGCUGCUCCGGGUGUGUGCUGCGCGCACCUGAGGCCGACCUGUGAUUCACCGCGGGAGGGAUGGCAGUGACAACGCUCCGGGGAAGUCCACAGUGACUCCUCCGCCAGGACGCCGCUGGUUGUAUAGGAAAAGCACGCGGACGGGAAGCCACACUCACCGAAAACCUCAGUAAACUAAAUUUAUGAGUUUACAUCUGUUCCAUCAAUGACCACGGUGCACACCUGUUUGGCUUCAUGGCCGGCAACUACAGAUCUAGGUAUCCAAGAUCAAGAGGGACAAUUACAUAUUAUAAGCCGCACAGAGAAGAGUAAUCAAGGUGGACAUGAACUUGUGCUAUAUAAGUUAUGGGUUGAAGAACUCUGUGGAAAGUAGAGAAGAAAAAAUUUAGGGAACAAGCAGUAGUUGAAUACAGCUAUGUGAAACUAUGAGAACUAUGUGAAAGAGUGUUUGGAUCCAAAGAUGAAAGAGCUGACACAAGAGUGGAUUUUCUGAGAGCUGUUUGAGCAGAGAAAACUUGAAGGAGAUACAGUGAGUAGAACACAACCUGUAGGUGGUUUGAAGACCUGAGGACUCCAAUACCUCCCAACUCUCAUAUUCUCUAUAGUUUUUCUAGAAAAGCCCAUGUAUUGGGGCAUAACCUAUAAAGAUGAUAGCAACUAAAAUGGAUAAAUCAAUGACAUAAAAUGUU